UACGGAGGGGGCUAGCGUUGUUCGGAAUUACUGGGCGUAAAGCGCACGUAGGCGGCUUUGCAAGUCAGAGGUGAAAGCCCGGGGCUCAACCCCGGAAUUGCCUUUGAGACUGCAUCGCUAGAAUUGUGGAGAGGUAAGUGGAAUUCCGAGUGUAGAGGUGAAAUUCGUAGAUAUUCGGAAGAACACCAGUGGCGAAGGCGACUUACUGGACACAUAUUGACGCUGAGGUGCGAAAGCGUGGGGAGCAAACAGG
This 253-nucleotide ribosomal RNA is filed under the name uncultured bacterium. Its description in RNAcentral is "partial 16S ribosomal RNA". It matches the Rfam family "Bacterial small subunit ribosomal RNA", at positions 524 to 776 of the family's 1533-position model. The record is from RNAcentral.